Molecule: long non-coding RNA, 1247 nt
Filed under: Capra hircus (goat)
Lineage: Eukaryota; Metazoa; Chordata; Mammalia; Artiodactyla; Bovidae
Description: lncRNA (ENSCHIG00010003697.1)
Source: RNAcentral
AAAAUUGUGUUUUAUUUAUUCAUUUUUGGCUGUACUAGAUCUUUGUCACUGUAUGGGCUUUUUUCUAGUUGCAGCAACUGGGGACUACUCUUCAUUGCAGUGCACAGGCUUCUCUUUUGGUGGCUUUUCUUGUUGAGGAGCAUAGACUUGAGGACACGUGGGCUCAGUAGUUGCAGCUCCCAGGCACUAGAGCACAGGCUCAGUAGUUGUGGUGCACAUUUGCCCCGUGUCAGUUACUCCACAGCAUGUGAGAUCUUCCUUUACCAGGGAUCGAACCUGUGUUUCCUGCAUUGACAGGUGGAUUCUUUACCACUGAGCCACCAGGGAAGCUCAAUAGUGAAGCUCUGAACUUGGGUAGUGACUGCAUAUAGAAAGAGAAGAAUGGAUCUAAGGUAUCAUUUGGAGAUGUGUUGUGCACCACCUCAUCUAACAAGCCUCAGUCUGCCAAGACGCUGCAGGAGGGACACAGCUGUGCUGAGACAGAGGCAGGUGUGACAGGUCUUCAGGGUGGCCUCGUGGGCACUUGUGUCUCUGUGCCCUUGCGGAUGGUCCCUUACUUCCCCACGAUGGAGUGCCAACUCAAGCCUGAGGCUUCGGUUUUAUGCAACCUCAUCUGUAACAUGUGUUUGUUUCCCGGUGUAUCCCCAAGACCUGUCUCAGAGUCCAACACAGUGUAUGUGCUCAUUAAGCCGUUAUGGAAAGAAUGAAUAACAGCUGAGAUCGCACUGCCAGACCACUGAGACCCACUAACUUCCUGAAUGUCUCCUCCUCAGUGUUCUCAAAGCUCUGCGCCCACCCUGGGUACCUUGCUGCAAUAUUCCACCUGUCAACAUGGUCACUGGCUAUAGGGAUGUUCUUGCUUGGCUUACACUGUUUCCUAAUUAUCUUAUGUCCCAGUGGAAUCCCAAGUGGUGUACAGUUUAACAGAAGAGACAGAGCACUUGUAACUUAGUGACAAAUGAUACAAAACAGACUAAUGCCUAACGUAUUGGCACUAAUUCAGUAUUGGAGAAAUUGAGAGAAUUCUCUUUUUUUUAACUUAUUUGUUUUUAAUUGAAGGAUAAUUGCUUUAUAGUAUUGUCUUGGUUUCUACCAAGCAUCAGCAUGAAUCAGCCAUAGGUUUAAUUACCCAUGUCCCCUUCUACUUGAACAUCUCUCCUACCUCCUUCCCUGUUCCAUCCCUCUAGGUUGUUACCAGGCCCUGGUUUUAGUUCCCUUAGUCGUACAGCAAAUUCCCAUUAGCUAUU